This 589-nucleotide long non-coding RNA is filed under the name Mus caroli (Ryukyu mouse). RNAcentral's name for it is "lncRNA (MGP_CAROLIEiJ_G0013458.1)". The record is from RNAcentral. Lineage: Eukaryota; Metazoa; Chordata; Mammalia; Rodentia; Muridae.
GAGGGAGAAGGGGGAAAAAUAGUUGUGCUUCUGCUUCUUUCGUUCUAAGAUAAAUUCUCCCGGAGACAACCUCUCCCACUAAUUGUGUGUUAGCCAUGAAUUUUAUCUCAAGAGCUGACGCACUGGGCUCUCAACUAGUGUGGAAAAGCAGCCAGUUACAGUGUAGGAUUCAUAAAAGGGCCUCUAUGGUGUGUGAGAAAGAAUAUCUGUGUGCCUAGGCAGGAAACUUUUUGAUCUACAGAAAAGCCAGAAGACAUCUAGCACACCAGAAUAGAGGUCCUGUCUUACUAAGCACUAUACAGUAUGGAGAGAUCCUGCCAAACCCGUCGGGACGAAUAACAGAUGAAUUCGUAAAACUGUUCAUCUCUGUUAUCCUGAAUGGUCGCUCAGACAACAUUUUACUCAACUAUAAAGGGAGAAGCAUAUUGUGUGAUGUUCUAUAUUUAUGAGACCCAUAACAAACUGUGAAGAGAUAACAGAACGCUUUUUGCGUGAGCUGAAACAGUAGAUGAAAUCUUUCAUUAAAAUUACUCGUACUUUGGGUCCUAUUCUUAUUUAUAAAUAAACAUAAAUAUUAUUGCAAAUAUUU